Molecule: ribosomal RNA, 232 nt
Filed under: uncultured bacterium
Lineage: Bacteria
Description: partial 16S ribosomal RNA
Rfam family: Bacterial small subunit ribosomal RNA
Source: RNAcentral
UGAGGAACAUGACCUUCGGCGGGGGAUAGCCGGCCCAACGGCCGGGUAAUACCGCGUACGACCACAUGGGGACAUCCCUGAGUGGUGAAAGCAGCAAUGCGCCGAUGGAGUGCCUCGCGGCCUAUCAGCUAGUUGGUGGGGUAACGGCUCACCAAGGCAACGACGGGUAGCUGGUCUGAGAGGAUGGCCAGCCACAUUGGGACUGAGACACGGCCCAGACCUCCGUAGGAGG